GUAAUGAUUAUGUUUUUAUAUUAUAUUAUUAUUAAUAUAUUAUAUUAUAUUAUAUAUAUACAUAAAACAAAAGAAAGAAGAGAAAAAGAAAGAAAAGAAACAGAAUAGAAGAGACGAAACAAAGAAAGAAACAGAGAGCAAAACGAGCAGAGAAGGAAGGAAAGAAAGAAAGAAAGAAAGAAAAAGAAAAAGGGAAAUUUGAGGUUUUAAGGUUCCAAGCUCAAUUGGUAAGUCAAAUUAAGUCAUUUUCUUAUAAUUUUUGAGUUUUUGGAAUCCUAGAGAUAAAUACUACUUGAUUUAUGUUGAUAUUUUGAAAGUUAGUAGAUCGUCAGACAUGAGUUAUGUUGAAUUAAUUGAUGAACUAGAGGUUAAAAUGAUUGAAUUUUAAGUUAGAAGUUAGUAAAAGAUUGAUUUGUAAAAUAAGAUAUAAGUUUUGAAUUGAUAGGGAUUAAAUUGAAAGAAUCCCGAAAUUAGGGAUUUAUGGGGAAAUUGAAGAAUUAAACUGAGUUUAUAGUAAGAAUUAAGAGAGAAUAUAGAGUUAGAAUGGAAAAAUAAAAUUAGUAUUGAUAAGGGAUUAAAUUAGAAUUUGGGUAAAGUUUAGGUAUACGGGAAAUAUUUUAAUGAAAUUGAGUAUUAAUGAUUUUUAAUUGUUUAAUUACGUAGCUAAUGUCGUGUACGAGUCAUUGCCCGAGAAAGGAGAAGGUGGACAAGGAUUGACUCGGGAGAAAUUUCGGUUAGUAUUAAUAUAAUUCGAAUUUAAUUAUUAAUUGUUAAAAUUUAAAUUAAUAUACAUAAUAAGAAAAUUGAGGUAAGCAUCCCGACUGAAUUGAAUGAUAAAUACGUAUUGGUAUUGAAUUUAUUAAUAGUAAUUGUUGAAUUUUGAAUAAUAUGUUUAGUAUAAAAAAAAUAGAUGAAUAUUGAUAUUGAAUUGUACAUGAAUUUGAUUAGAAAAUGAAUUAAAAAUAUAUAUAUGAAUGGAAUAAAAGUGAAUUAAAUUGUGAAUAAGUGUGAUAUAUGUGAAUGGUGGAAUAAGUAGUAAAUUGUAAUGACGGAGAAAUGAUAAAUCCUUUUUGAAAUAAUUUUGUAAAGUAUUUAAAUAAAUGAGAUUCAGAUUUAAUGCCCAAGUAGAUGGAAUUUAGAACUACCAGGAUAUUAGUGGCAUGCCAUUAAGGAACUUAUUAAGGAACUUUAGUGCGCUCUCUGAUAUUAGCACGUUGGUGCUCUCUGAUAUUAGCACGUUGGUGCUCUCUGUUUAGCACAUUUGUGCUCUCUGUAUUUGUUCCGUAUAUCCGGGGUGUUCUGUAAAAUCUACUUUGGGCUAAGAUUAUAAGCUGUGGACAAAAGUGAAUCAUUAAUAUGUUAAGGUAUGUUUUAUAAAGUUUAUAUGUACCGUUUUAGGUAUAAUGUGCCGUAUUGGUGUGUUUUGGUUAGAUCCGUGUAUCCGCCAAGGUCCGAGACAAGUUAAUAGGGGUAAAUGAAUAAUUUUGAUAAUAUAAAUUUUUAUUGAAUGAUCUUGAAUAUGAAUUGAAAUAGCUAUUGUUAAGAAAUGAGAAGUGAAAAUAAAAUAAUUUGAAAGAGUGAAAUAAUAUGUGAAUUUAAUUGAAUACAAGUUAUUGAAAUUUAGUUAUGGAUUUAAUGAAUAAAUUGAGUGUUAAAAGAUUUAAAGUACAUAUUGAAUAUAAAUAGAAUGGAUAAUGAAUGAGUUGAUAAAUUGAUUGAAUUUGUAUGAAUUGGAAUGAGAUGUGAAAAAUUCCAUGAAAUUGAGAUAGUGGAAUAAGGUAUAAAUACAAUUAAAUACAAGAUUUGAAUUAUUGCUUAUUGUUAUUAAUUAUCAAGUUGAUUUAAUGUAUGAGAUAAUUAAUGAAUAAUUGUAGACAUAAAUAAAAUAUAUAUAAUUUAUCAAUUAAUGUUAUUAAUUUGAAUUAUGGUAAUACCACUGAGUAUUCCCAUACUCAGCGUACAGUUGUUUCCGUGCGCAGGAUUGUAGAAAACUAGUGUUCGAUUCAGCAUCCAAAGUAAUCCCGACCUCAAAGACAUUUUAGUGAUGUACCUUUCUGUUGAUAAUGUGGCAUGUACCUAGGUAAUUUAUAUACCUAAGUGAUGUAUAGGGAUUAGUCAUUUUGAAUGUUGUAUCUAUGAUAUUGGUAAAGAAAGAUGUGUGAGUAUGUGAUAAUGUUUGGCUUUUAAAAUGGUUAAGUAUGAAAAUCAAGAAAGGGUAAAUUUUGCAAAGAAACAGAAUUCAGACAGCAAUAGCGACGUAACUUUGAAAAAUCACCUAAGAUAGUAUAAAAUGAAUUAGAGGGUGAAUGAUAUAUGAAAUUAAAUAUUGUUGAGUCUAUUUUUAUAGAAAAAUAACUGUUUAGCAAAAAGAAAUUUAUAUUUUAAGAUAUAUGAAUUUUAGUGAGACAGGGUCAGAAUUGUUUCUGGAGUCCCCUGUUCCGAGUUUAGAAAAUCACUAAAAAUGGUAUAAAAAUAGUUAUGAGUUGUAGUUUAUAUGUAUAGAAUCCUUAUUGAGUCUAUUUUCUGUAGAAACAAGUGGUAAUAUCAUAUGGAAAUCCUAUAGUGAGAAUUUAUUUUUAAUACCAAGGGGUCAGGACAGUUGAGUGAAGAAACAGGGGAGACUUUAACUAAUAAACUGUACUAAUUGGCCAAACCAAAAAUUCUGAAAAUUUUAUGGUAGAAAUAUAUAUGAAUCUGGUUUCAGGGAAAAUUUACGGAAUUAAAUUUUGAGUCUCGUAGCUCGAGUUAUAAUCAAUUUAGUAACUGCUGCGCGAUUAGGCAGAUUACUGUAAACAGUGAAAUAAAUUUUCAAAACGAAUUUUUAUGCCCCGAAUUAGUAAGAUAAGUUAGGUAAUGCUUCGUGCUCGACUUCGGAAACGGUCUCGGGUAAGGGGUGUUCCAAACUAUAUCCCGACUUAGCCCGACUAGUUAAUAGGGUAUUCAAAUUCUCAAUUCACUUUCAUUUCCAAUUCAAGAUCAUUUUUCCACUUUCUAAUCAAUUAACAAUUUAAUACCAAUACAUAUAUCAAAUAAUCACAUAUAACCAUAUUUCGAUUCAAUUCAAACCACUUUUCAAUCAAUACACAAUUCACAUACUCACACAUAUUCAUAAAUUAUUUCACUUUAUUUAAUUCAUAUUUUAAAUUCAUUUUCCAAUCAAAUUCAAAUCACUAAUUACUUUUCAAUCAAUAUACAUUUCACUACUCACAUAUUUCCAUCAUUCGAUUCAAUUUGAUUCAAUUCAAAUCACUAUUAUCACUUCAAUUGCUUACCUAAUUUUACUUACCAUGCAUUUAAUUAAAAUAUAACAAUUAAUAAUAACUAAAUUUGAAUUAUAGUAAUACAAACCCGAAUUUGCUCGAUUAUUCCUCAACGACCUUCUCCUUCCCUUUUUGUGCCGAUACCUCGAAUUCUUU
RNAcentral lists this long non-coding RNA (3416 nucleotides) under Gossypium barbadense (sea-island cotton). Its description in RNAcentral is "long non-coding RNA (GBAR_LNC016110)". Lineage: Eukaryota; Viridiplantae; Streptophyta; Magnoliopsida; Malvales; Malvaceae. The record is from RNAcentral.